Molecule: ribosomal RNA, 1736 nt
Filed under: groundwater metagenome
Description: bacterial LSU rRNA
Rfam family: Bacterial large subunit ribosomal RNA
Source: RNAcentral
AAUAGCUGGUUCUCCCCGAAAUGUCUUUAGGGACAGCCUUAUGCAAAUAGAUAAUGGGGGUAGAGCACUAAAUGGGCUAAGGGGCAUUACCUGCCUUCUGAACCCAAUUAAACUCCGAAUACCAUUAUCUUUAUCAUAGGAGUGAGACUACGAGGGAUAAGCUUCGUGGUCGAGAGGGAAACAACCCAGACUGCCAGCUAAGGCCCCUAAGAAUAAACUAAGUGGUAAAGGAUGUAAGGUUGCGUAGACAACCGGGAUGUUGGCUUAGAGGCAGCCAUCAUUUAAAGAGUGCGUAACAGCUCACCGGUCAAUGCGAUCUUGCGCCGACAAUGAUCGGGGCUUAAGUUUAUCGCCGAAGCUGCAGAUAUAUCGUCGAAAGACGAUACAUGGUAGGGGAGCAUUCUGUUUUAGGUUGAAGGAGUACCGUGAGGAGCUCUGGACUGAACAGAAGAGAUUAUGCCGGAAUAAGUAGCGAAAAAACCCGCGAGAAACGGGUUCGCCGCAAGCCUAAGGUUUCCUGGGGAAGGCUAAUCCACCCAGGGUUAGUCGGGCCUAAGCUGAGGCCGAAAGGCGUAAGCGAUGGACAAUCUGUUUAAUAUUCAGAUACCGCCUAUUAAGCGUUAUAGAGCAAGAUGUGACGCAGAAGGAUAAGUUACCCCCGGUGUUGGAUGUCCGGGGAUGCAUCUGCAGUCUUACUCCGCAAGGGGUAAGAUGAGGGAUGUGUGGAGCCCAAUCUACGGAGCGGGCGAACGGACUGAUUCCACGCUGCCAAGAAAAACCAUCUUAGUGAGUUUAGUAGGUGUCCGUACCGCAAACCGACACAGGUAGGCGAGGAGAAUAUCCUAAGGCGCUCGAAAGAACUCUCGUUAAGGAACUCGGCAAAAUGACCCCGUAACUUCGGAAGAAGGGGUGCCUUGAUUUUUGUAGAUGUACAAUCGAAGGGAAUCAAGGCGACACUAAAGAGGCUUCUGUGACUGUUUAGCAAAAACACAUGUCUCUGCGAAAUCGUAAGAUGAUGUAUAGGGACUGACACCUGCCCGGUGCCGGAAGGUUAAGAGGAGCGGUUAUCCCCGCAAGGGGAGAAGCUGCGAACUGAAGCCCCGGUAAACGGCGGCCGUAACUAUAACGGUCCUAAGGUAGCGAAAUUCCUUGUCGGGUAAGUUCCGACCCGCACGAAUGGUGUAACAAAAGAAGCGCUGUCUCGACGAGAGGUUCGGCGAAAUUGUAGCGGCGGUGAAGAUGCCGUCUACCCGCGACUAGACGAAAAGACCCCAGAACCUUUACUGUAUCCUGGUAUUGAAUUUUGAUGCAAUCUGUGUAGGAUAGGCGGGAGGCUAUGAAGUCCUGGCGCUAGCUGGGAUGGAGCCACCCUUGAAAUACCGCUCUUUUUGUAUUAGAAUUCUAACCCUGCACCUUAUAACAGGUCAGGGGACAAUGCCAGGUGGGCAGGUUGACUGGGGCGGUUUCCUCCUAAAGAGUAACGGAGGAGUGCAAAGGUUCCCUCAGUGCGGUUGGCAAUCGCACGGUGAGUGUAAAGGCAUAAGGGAGCUUAACUGUGAGACAUACAAGUCGAACAGAUGCGAAAGCAGGCCUUAGUGAUCCGGUGGUAACACGUGGAAGUGCCAUCGCUCAACGGAUAAUAGGUACUCUGGGGAUAACAGGCUUAUCGGGCCCAAGAGUUCACAUCGACGGCCCGGUUUGGCACCUCGAUGUCGGCUCAUCGCAUCCUGGGGCUG